RNAcentral lists this ribosomal RNA (460 nucleotides) under uncultured bacterium. RNAcentral describes it as "partial 16S ribosomal RNA". It matches the Rfam family "Bacterial small subunit ribosomal RNA", at positions 338 to 795 of the family's 1533-position model. The record is from RNAcentral.
CCUACGGGGAGCAGCAGUGAGGAAUAUUGGUCAAUGGGCGUAAGCCUGAACCAGCCAAGUCGCGUGAGGGAUGAAGGUUCUAUGGAUCGUAAACCUCUUUUAUAAGGGAAUAAAGUGUGGGACGUGUCCUGUUUUGUAUGUACCUUAUGAAUAAGGAUCGGCGAACUCCGUGCCAGCAGCCGCGGUAAUACGGAGGAGCCGAGCGUUAUCCGGAUUUAUUGGGUUUAAAGGGUGCGUAGGCGGCCUUUUAAGUCAGCGGUGAAAGUAUGUGGCUCAACCAUAGAAUUGCCGUUGAAACUGGGAGGCUUGAGUAUGUUUGAGGCAGGCGGAAUGCGUGGUGUAGCGGUGAAAUGCUUAGAGAUCACGCAGAACCCCGAUUGCGAAGGCAGCCUGCCAAGCCAUGACUGACGCUGAUGCACGAAAGCGUGGGGAUCAAACAGGAUUAGAUACCCCAGUAGUC